GGGCUCAUAGCUCAGCUGGUUAGAGCGUUCGGUUUACAUCCGAGAGGUCCAUGGUUCGAGUCCAUGUGGGCCCACCA
This 77-nucleotide transfer RNA is filed under the name candidate division WWE3 bacterium. Its description in RNAcentral is "tRNA-Val". It matches the Rfam family "tRNA". From Rfam's summary of the family: Transfer RNA (tRNA) molecules are approximately 80 nucleotides in length. The record is from RNAcentral. Lineage: Bacteria; candidate division WWE3.